This 532-nucleotide ribosomal RNA is filed under the name uncultured Spirochaeta sp. RNAcentral's name for it is "bacterial SSU rRNA". It matches the Rfam family "Bacterial small subunit ribosomal RNA", at positions 390 to 916 of the family's 1533-position model. Lineage: Bacteria; Pseudomonadati; Spirochaetota; Spirochaetia; Spirochaetales; Spirochaetaceae. The record is from RNAcentral.
AGCGACGCCGCGUGAACGAAGAAGGCCUUGAGGUUGUAAAGCUCUUUUCUGGAGGGGGAAUGACCGUGGCACCGAAUGGCCGCGGGAUGACUUGAAUCCCGGAACAAGCCCCGGCUAACUACAUGGCGCCAGCCUCGUUCACACUUACGGGGCGAGCGUUGUUCGGAAUCAUUGGGCGUAAAGGGCGUGGAAGCGGCACUGCUCGUCCGGCGUGAAACACCCCAGCCCAACCGGGUGGGUGCGCUGGAAGCUGCGGGGAUUGAGUACAGGAGGGGAUGCCGGAAUUCCAGGUGUAGGGAUGAAAUCUGUAGAUAUCUGGAAGAACACCGAUUGCGAAGGCUGGCAUCUGGACAUGUACUGACGCUAAGACGCUAAAGUGCGGGGAGCACACAGGUUUAGAUACCCUGGUAGUCCGCACAGUAAACGAUGUGCACCAGGUGGCGGGGGUAGAACCCCCGGUACCGUAGCAAACGCAUUAAGUGCACCGCCUGGGGAGUAUGCUCGCAAGGGUGAAACUCAAAGGAAUUGACGG